GGGUUGUGAGGUUAAGUGACUAAGCGUACACGGUGGAUGCCUAGGCAGUCAGAGGCGAUGAAGGACGUGCUAAUCUGCGAUAAGCGUCGGUAAGCUGAUAUGAAGCGUUAUAACCGACGAUUUCCGAAUGGGGAAACCCAGUGCAACUCGUUGCACUAUCGUUAAGUGAAUACAUAGCUUAACGAAGCGAACCAGGGGAACUGAAACAUCUAAGUACCCUGAGGAAAAGAAAUCAACCGAGAUUCCCCUAGUAGCGGCGAGCGAACGGGGAGCAGCCCAGAACCUUAAUCAGCGUAUGUGUCAGAGGAACGGUCUGGAAAGUCCGGCGAUACAGGGUGAUAGCCCCGUACUUGAAAAUGCAUAUGUUGUGAGUUCGAUGAGUAGGGCGGGACACGUGA
This 398-nucleotide ribosomal RNA is filed under the name Salmonella enterica subsp. enterica. Its description in RNAcentral is "partial 23S ribosomal RNA". It matches the Rfam family "Bacterial large subunit ribosomal RNA", at positions 1 to 429 of the family's 2925-position model. Lineage: Bacteria; Pseudomonadati; Pseudomonadota; Gammaproteobacteria; Enterobacterales; Enterobacteriaceae. The record is from RNAcentral.